UCUCUGCUGAGUAGGUAGGUGGCUAUAUGGCUGAUGACUGGACAACAAUCACUAUCAAAAGGAAGUCUGCCCAUGGGCUACCGCAGGAAGAACAAGAGUCUGGGACAUUGUCUCCUGAGAAGAGGCAGGCUAAGGCAGUGUGAGGACUAGGAACCACUCUCAGGUUCCACUCUUGUAACCAACAUCCCCUCCAAACACCUGAGACAGUAGACUACUAUCACCAUUAAAUUAAAUUCGUACUACUUUGUA
Molecule: long non-coding RNA, 249 nt
Organism: Mesocricetus auratus (golden hamster)
Lineage: Eukaryota; Metazoa; Chordata; Mammalia; Rodentia; Cricetidae
Exons: 2
Source: RefSeq, a predicted model, not a curated record